CACGUAGGGGACGAGCGUUGUCCGGAUUCAUUGGGCGUAAAGCGCGCGUAGGCGGCCCGGUAAGUCGGAUGUGAAAACCCGGGGCUCAACCCCGGGCCUGCAUCCGAUACUUCCGAGCUUGAGGCAGGUAGGGGAGAUCGGAAUUCCUGGUGUAGCGGUGAAAUGCGCAGAUAUCAGGAGGAACACCGGUGGCGAAGGCGGCAUCCUGGACCGGCAUUGACGCUGAGGCGCGAAAGCCAGGGGAGCAAACGGG
This 253-nucleotide ribosomal RNA is filed under the name uncultured bacterium. Its description in RNAcentral is "partial 16S ribosomal RNA". It matches the Rfam family "Bacterial small subunit ribosomal RNA", at positions 524 to 776 of the family's 1533-position model. The record is from RNAcentral.